Molecule: long non-coding RNA, 1591 nt
Organism: Ostrea edulis (European flat oyster)
Lineage: Eukaryota; Metazoa; Mollusca; Bivalvia; Ostreida; Ostreidae
Exons: 2
Source: RefSeq, a predicted model, not a curated record
AAAAAUUAAAUAUAAAACACUGUACACCGUUUCAAUACUAUUUAGUCGUAUUACGGUUUUAUAUGUAUUUAUUUGCUAAAACCUGUUACAAUGAUAAUUAUACUAUUCACUUUGAACAAAAUGAGUGUUUAAAUUACGAAUUGCACGUUAGAGUCUUCUAUUAUUGGCAUUCAAAAUAAAACACGAAUAACUGUUGAAGCAGGUAAUGAAAAAAUAAAUGGCGGCGCCCAUAUGGAUCACGAAAAUUUCAGUGAACGUGUAUAGAGAUUAUCUCUUUUUCUUUUGCUGAUUUUGACUUUUUUCUUUUACAUACGUGUUACCUUUAGAGCCUUGCUUCGCGGACGGGCCUUGGGCCCGUCCGAGCUUCGCUCGGUAUCAUUGUAACAGGUUUUAGCAAAUAAUUACAUAUAAAACCGUAAUACGACUAAAUAGAUGAACGAGUUCAUGAGGUUCUUUAAAUAAGAAUAUACGAUAAAAUUACGGUUGCAUUUUUACCAUUUUGAAUUUAUUGGUUAAUUUUAUUUAGUUUUAUAACGGCCUUUUUCAUUGCAUACGGAAUGUAUUAUUGUUGUUUAUAAUAGCCGUGUUUCGAGUUACUCCGGAACACCCGGGAUUUUUCGUAUUUAGCCACGCCGGUCACGUGAUAUGAGCAAAAUGUUCCACAGGGGUACUUCCGGUUAAUUUUGUUUACACUGGUAACAAAAUUGUUUUUGACAAAAUAUAGAUUUUGCGGCACAAACUGUCGCAAAUCAGAUAAAGGAUAGCAAGGGAUAUAUAUUUACUUGGGAAUAUGUCAAAGUUUACCUUUUCCCAAACCCGGGAAAAGCGUUCACGCAGAGGAAACGAUGGUGUCAUUUGUGUAGAAAACCACGAGCAGCCGAAAUUGAGUGCGAUUAUUACAUUCCGUGAAAGCUGAACCAACAAAGAAACAUCAUUGUUCUAGCCAGUUUGCUUAUAUUAACUUUUAGGAAAACCAAGAGGUUGAAAACAAUGGCUGAUCUGCAUAUAAUGACUGCUAGUUAUUGGCUGGUAUGCAGUGAAAGGGAGCUAAAAAGGAGUAAAAAGUUCAUAUCAGCCAGGUGAGAAUUAAUUUCUUCUUUUUUGUGUGUUAUACAUAUGUAAUUCUUUUCUUUUGCUGCUUCAAAUCUUGUGUAUUUGAAAAUUUUCAGUCUAAUAUUUGGCAAUGUUAUAGGUAGUGUGGUUUAAAUAAACCAGUGUUAAGGAAUAUCCAGUAAUGACAUGACAUCAUGAGAGUUUGGCAUACCGACAUUCAGAUGAUUAAUGAUGAAACUGAAGACCUCAAAUGAAAGGCAUGGAAAAUUAUCCUGUUCCCAUUAACCUGAAAAAGAGGAGGGAUGCCACAAUAUUGAUAAUAGACUUUUGUCAAUUUGAGAAGCAAAGAUGUAAAAAAAAUAAUAAAAUAAAUAAAUAAUGAUGAAAUUAUAAUUCAUGUAUUUGUUAAAAAUACUGUUCACUGUACAUACAUGUAUAUUUUUUUAACUUAUUUGGAAAUACAUGAAGUAAUUCAUAUUAAAACUGAAUGUAUGAGUUUUCAUGAUUUUUAUCAAUAAAGCUUACCAUAUUUAUUGUA